RNAcentral lists this ribosomal RNA (119 nucleotides) under Triticum aestivum (bread wheat). The record is from RNAcentral. Lineage: Eukaryota; Viridiplantae; Streptophyta; Magnoliopsida; Poales; Poaceae.
GGAUGCGAUCAUACCAGCACUAAAGCACCGGAUCCCAUCAGAACUCCGAAGUUAAGCGUGCUUGGGCGAGAGUAGUACAAGGAUGGGUGACCUCCUGGGAAGUCCUCGUGUUCCAUUCC